GACGAACGCUGGCGGCGUGCUUAACACAUGCAAGUCGAACGGUAAGGCCCUUCGGGGUACACGAGUGGCGAACGGGUGAGUAAAACGUGGGUGAUCUGCCCUGCACUUCGGGAUAAGCCUGGGAAACUGGGUCUAAUACCGGAUAGGACCACUGCCUGCAGGGGAGGUGGUGGAAAGCUUUUGUGGUGUGGGAUGGGCCUGCGGCGUAUCAGGUUGUGGGUGGGGUGUUGGCCUACCAAGGGGACGGCGGGUAGCCGGCCUGAGAGGGGGACCGGCCACACUGGGACUGAGAUACAGCCCAGACUCCUACGGGAGGCAGCAGUGGGGAAUAUUGCACAAUGGGCGCAAGCCUGAUGCAGCGACGCCGCGUGAGGGAUGACGGCCUUCGGGUUGUAAACCUCUUUCAGCACCGACGAAGCGCAAGUGACGGUAGGUGCAGAAGAAGGACCGGCCAACUACGUGCCAGCCGCCGCCGUAA
Molecule: ribosomal RNA, 478 nt
Filed under: uncultured bacterium
Lineage: Bacteria
Description: partial 16S ribosomal RNA
Rfam family: Bacterial small subunit ribosomal RNA
Source: RNAcentral